Molecule: small RNA, 147 nt
Filed under: Cyanistes caeruleus (blue tit)
Lineage: Eukaryota; Metazoa; Chordata; Aves; Passeriformes; Paridae
Description: TUC338 (ENSCCEG00000004727.1)
Source: RNAcentral
CUGAAGGUGGUGAAAGCUGAAGUAAUUUGCUUAUCCCCAGAACAGGUAUAGGACUGCUCUAAAAAGUUCCUCACUUCUGAGCUCUGGCACCACCUGUAGGGAUGAAAGGGCACUCCAGGACCCAGGUCUAUUCAGAGCUUGGCUUCC